CGGAAACGCACAGCGAAAGGUGCUUGCACCUUUCAAGUGAGUGGCGAACGGGUGAGUAACACGUGGACAACCUGCCUCAAGGCUGGGGAUAACAUUUGGAAACAGAUGCUAAUACCGAAUAAAACUUAGUGUCGCAUGACAAAAAGUUAAAAGGCGCUUCGGCGUCACCUAGAGAUGGAUCCGCGGUGCAUUAGUUAGUUGGUGGGGUAAAGGCCUACCAAGACAAUGAUGCAUAGCCGAGUUGAGAGACUGAUCGGCCACAUUGGGACUGAGACACGGCCCAAACUCCUACGGGAGGCUGCAGUAGGGAAUCUUCCACAAUGGGCGAAAGCCUGAUGGAGCAACGCCGCGUGUGUGAUGAAGGCUUUCGGGUCGUAAAGCACUGUUGUAUGGGAAGAACAGCUAGAAUAGGAAAUGAUUUUAGUUUGACGGUACCAUACCAGAAAGGGACGGCUAAAUACGUGCCAGCAGCCGCGGUAAUACGUAUGUCCCGAGCGUUAUCCGGAUUUAUUGGGCGUAAAGCGAGCGCAGACGGUUUAUUAAGUCUGAUGUGAAAGCCCGGAGCUCAACUCCGGAAUGGCAUUGGAAACUGGUUAACUUGAGUGCAGUAGAGGUAAGUGGAACUCCAUGUGUAGCGGUGGAAUGCGUAGAUAUAUGGAAGAACACCAGUGGCGAAGGCGGCUUACUGGACUGCAACUGACGUUGAGGCUCGAAAGUGUGGGUAGCAAACAGGAUUAGAUACCCUGGUAGUCCACACCGUAAACGAUGAACACUAGGUGUUAGGAGGUUUCCGCCUCUUAGUGCCGAAGCUAACGCAUUAAGUGUUCCGCCUGGGGAGUACGACCGCAAGGUUGAAACUCAAAGGAAUUGACGGGGACCCGCACAAGCGGUGGAGCAUGUGGUUUAAUUCGAAGCAACGCGAAGAACCUUACCAGGUCUUGACAUCCUUUGAAGCUUUAGAAGAUAGAAGUGUUCUCUUCGGAGACAAAGUGACAGGUGGUGCAUGGUCGUCGUCAGCUCCUGUCCUGAGAUGUUUGGGUUAAGUCCCGCAACGAGCGCAACCCUUAUUGUUAGUUGCCAGCAUUCCAAUGGGCACUCUAGCGAGAAUGCCGGUGACAAACCGGAGGAAAGGGGGGGGACAAAAUUGAAAAAUCAUGGCCCCUUUUAACCGGGGGUACAACCGGGUUAAAAGGGGGUAAAAACAAAUUGCCACCCCC
Molecule: ribosomal RNA, 1217 nt
Filed under: Leuconostoc mesenteroides
Lineage: Bacteria; Bacillati; Bacillota; Bacilli; Lactobacillales; Lactobacillaceae
Description: bacterial SSU rRNA
Rfam family: Bacterial small subunit ribosomal RNA
Source: RNAcentral